GGGCUUGUGGCUCAGCGGUAGAGCACUUGCCUCGCAUGUGCAAGACCCUGGGUUCGAUCCUCAGCACACAUA
Non-coding RNA from Ictidomys tridecemlineatus (thirteen-lined ground squirrel), 72 nucleotides. The record is from Rfam. NCBI's taxonomy places the organism in Eukaryota, Metazoa, Chordata, Mammalia, Rodentia, Sciuridae.